Centrocercus urophasianus (Greater sage-grouse) is the source of this 1185-nucleotide long non-coding RNA. RefSeq lists it as uncharacterized. The record is from RefSeq and is a predicted model, not a curated record. The transcript is spliced from 3 exons. Lineage: Eukaryota; Metazoa; Chordata; Aves; Galliformes; Phasianidae.
CUGUUCUGUUGAGCGCUUCUGCCCGGCACACAGCACUGCCAUACCUGUGCCUGCCUGUUAAGAAGAAAAGCAUCCCAAAAGUAAACGGGCAGAAAGGGGCUGCCUGGUCUCUGAUGAAGGAUCUCUACUUUGCCUGGGAUCUGAGCCUAAAGAGAAGAAAUACACAGGAGCAGAAGGAAGAUGAACAGGGCGCAAAGAGAGCAGUGCCAGUGGAAUUUUUGUGGACAAAUACUUUGUGUCUUGCUCCUGCAACGCUGUUUCUCCUUGUCCUGUCCUGACAAGCAGCUGCUUUUCCAGUCCCCUGGGUUAAAAACCUGUUUUGGAGAACUCAGGACUGUAGCUAGGGUCUCAGUUCCAAGCAUGUGGAACAACAAUUUAAUAGCCACUAGUCUUGCUACUGGCUGUUUUCAAGGCGAAGAGAAAUUCUCUUUCUUAGUUUGGAAUAACAUACUGUUGCAACCACUAUUUUUUUUUUGCCAGUUCCUCUGAAAUCCCCAUGAUACUGACAAUUUACUUCCACUCUUUUUUACCAGUUCCUCUGAAACCUGAGGGAGAUCAGCCCUCCAUAAAAUCAAGACAGCCAAGUGCAUAAGGCUGGAUCUGUGUGCAAGUCCUUGCAGGUUCCAUACUACCAACUCCAUUACUCUUUCUAUUGACAUAAAUUCUGACCAGCUGUCAGCUUGAAUUUAGGGUAAAAUAGUGUGGAAGCUAUGUGACAAGGAGAAAUUGUGUCAGCAUGAUACCAGGCAGUCUUGUUUAUAACUUUUUGCAUCAGUGUCCCUUCCACCCAAACCAUUUAGGGGUAUUCGAGCUUUCUGAAUAAACUUGACACAUUGGUUAAAAAGAAGCUUGAAGCUUUAGAUGAAAUUAACUUCUAGUGUCUCAUUCAGAACGCUGUGUACAUUCUGUUGAAGAAAUCCUGCUAAAAACAAGCUAAAACAUUCUGGAUGAUGCUGUGCCUGGAGCUCUACUCAGUGUCCCACACAGAGAGAAGAGGAUUGGCUUCCACUGAAACCAAUGGCAAAUUUCUCCUCUACUAUUUAUGGUGACUGGAAGACUCUCUGAAGAGCCUUUAAGAAGCCCCAUGUUGGCAGCUGAACUUCAAUCCAUCCAAAUCUUCACAGCUUCCUGCUAGAAGAGGAUGAAAUUGACCACAUGCCCUCAAAAUUCAUCUCAAUCUGAAAA